RNAcentral lists this ribosomal RNA (253 nucleotides) under uncultured bacterium. Its description in RNAcentral is "partial 16S ribosomal RNA". It matches the Rfam family "Bacterial small subunit ribosomal RNA", at positions 524 to 776 of the family's 1533-position model. The record is from RNAcentral.
UACGAGUGCCUCAAGCGUUAUCCGGAAUCAUUGGGCGUAAAGGAUGUGUAGGUGGUCGUGUUAGUCUUUUGUUAAAUUCUUCGGCUUAACCGGGGGCAUGCAGAGGAAACGGCACGACUAGAGGAUGCGAGGGGUCUGCGGAACUCAUAGUGUAGCGGUGAAAUGCGUUGAUAUUAUGGGGAACACCAAAAGCGAAGGCAGCAGACUGGAGCACUCCUGACACUGAAACAUGAAAGCGUGGGUCGCGAAUGGG